Molecule: non-coding RNA, 359 nt
Organism: Zootermopsis nevadensis
Lineage: Eukaryota; Metazoa; Arthropoda; Insecta; Blattodea; Termopsidae
Source: RefSeq, a predicted model, not a curated record
UUGGCCUCUUCUUAUCUGAUACUGUGGUUUUUGACCCGGUAGAAGUGCUGUAUAGGAAGGUGCGUUAGUCGUAAGAAGAGUGUGGAGUUUUAAUUGUAGUGUGGGGGUAUUUAUUGACCAUCUGAGUAAUUAUAAAAUUUUGAAGAAUACCCUGGACCACAAAGAGAGAAAUGAAGAAGAGUGAUCUCAAUUUUUAAAGGUUAUUUCAACAAAACGUCCUGAGAAUCUUUUAUAUAUUGAUGAGUCUGGGAUGGACAAUACUUGCAGAUUUUAAAGUAUGUCUGAAAAGUGAUACAGUGGUUGAUGGAGUUGGUUAAUAUCUUACUUAGGUAUAUAAUAAAAUCAAGUUGAGCAAAGUU